Molecule: ribosomal RNA, 483 nt
Filed under: uncultured bacterium
Lineage: Bacteria
Description: partial 16S ribosomal RNA
Rfam family: Bacterial small subunit ribosomal RNA
Source: RNAcentral
GACGAACGCUGGCGGCGUGCUUAACACAUGCAAGUCGAACGCUGAAGCUCAGCUUUUGUUGGGUGGAUGAGUGGCGAACGGGUGAGUAACACGUGAGUAACCUGCCCUCUUCUUUGGGAUAACGCCCGGAAACGGGUGCUAAUACUGGAUAUUCACUGAUCUUCGCAUGGGGGUUGGUGGAAAGGUUUGUUCUGGUGGGGGAUGGGCUCGCUGCCUAUCAGCUUGUUGGUGGGGUGAUGGCCUACCAAGGCUUUGACGGGUAGCCGGCCUGAGAGGGUGACCGGUCACAUUGGGAAUGAGAUACGGCCCAGACUCCUACGGGAGGCAGCAGUGGGGAAUAUUGCACAAUGGGCGAAAGCCUGAUGCAGCGACGCCGCGUGAGGGAUGGAGGCCUUCGGGUUGUAAACCUCUGUCGCUCAUGGUCAAGCCGCGACGUGGGUUGUGGUGAGGGUAGUGGGUAAAGAAGCGCCGGCUAACUACGUG